This 390-nucleotide unclassified non-coding RNA is filed under the name uncultured fungus. RNAcentral's name for it is "sequence contains ITS1". The stretch from base 1 to 106 matches the Rfam family "5.8S ribosomal RNA", at positions 50 to 154 of the family's 154-position model. Lineage: Eukaryota; Fungi. The record is from RNAcentral.
AAACUGCGAUACGUAAUGUGAAUUGCAGAAUUCAGUGAAUCAUCGAAUCUUUGAACGCAAAUUGCGCUUUAGGGUAAUUCUCUAAAGCAUACCUGGUUGAGCAUCAUUUCCUAAACUCUUACAAAUUCAUUUUUGUAAGGAUAAUGAAGGUCUUGCAAUAAAGUCCUUUGAAAUUCAGGCAAACUGGAGAUGAAAAAUGUAUUUUUUUCAGUUUCAAGAUUUAAGCGUCUUAAAACUAAAAAGUCAAAUCUGCGUGAUGGAAAUUUUAGUUUCAAUGUAUGCUCUUGAAAUGAUGACUAAAGUCGCUUUCUUCCCUUUUGCAAAACCAAUAAGGUUGAUUUUUUUUGAAAUCAUGAUCUCAACUCAGGUAAGACUACCCGCUGAACUUAA